Molecule: ribosomal RNA, 548 nt
Filed under: uncultured bacterium
Lineage: Bacteria
Description: bacterial SSU rRNA
Rfam family: Bacterial small subunit ribosomal RNA
Source: RNAcentral
ACACAUGCAAGUCGAACGCCUGUANCAAUACAGGAGUGGCAGACGGGUGAGUAACACGUGGGAACGUGCCCUUCGGUUCGGAAUAACCCAGGGAAACUUGGGCUAAUACCGGAUACGUCCGCAAGGAGAAAGAUUUAUCGCCGAAGGAUCGGCCCGCGUCCGAUUAGCUAGUUGGUGAGGUAACGGCUCACCAAGGCGACGAUCGGUAGCUGGUCUGAGAGGAUGAUCAACCACACUGGGACUGAGACACGGCCCAGACUCCUACGGGAGGCAGCAGUGGGGAAUAUUGGACAAUGGGCGCAAGCCUGAUCCAGCCAUGCCGCGUGAGUGAUGAAGGCCCUAGGGUUGUAAAGCUCUUUCGGCGGGGAAGAUAAUGACGGUACCCGCAGAAGAAGCCCCGGCUAACUUCGUGCCAGCAGCCGCGGUAAUACGAAGGGGGCUAGCGUUGCUCGGAAUCACUGGGCGUAAAGCGCUCGUAGGCGGAUUGUUUAGUCGGGGGUGAAAUCCUGGAGCUCAACUCCAGAACUGCCUUCGAUACUGGCAAUCUU